This 490-nucleotide ribosomal RNA is filed under the name uncultured bacterium. RNAcentral describes it as "partial 16S ribosomal RNA". It matches the Rfam family "Bacterial small subunit ribosomal RNA", at positions 29 to 507 of the family's 1533-position model. The record is from RNAcentral.
AGUGAACGCUGGCGGCAGGCCUAAUACAUGCAAGUCGAACGGCAGCACAGCAGAGCUUGCUCUGUGGGUGGCGAGUGGCGGACGGGUGAGGAAUACAUGGGAAUCUGCCCAGUCGUGGGGGAUAACGUAUGGAAACGUACGCUAAUACCGCAUGCGCCCUUUGGGGGAAAGCCGGGGACCUUCGGGCCUGGCGCGUUUGGAUGAGCCCAUGUUCGAUUAGCUAGUUGGCGGGGUAAAGGCCCACCAAGGCGACGAUCGAUAGCUGGUCUGAGAGGAUGAUCAGCCACACUGGGACUGAGACACGGCCCAGACUCCUACGGGAGGCAGCAGUAGGGAAUAUUGGACAAUGGGCGCAAGCCUGAUCCAGCCAUGCCGCGUGAGUGAAGAAGACCCUCGGGUUGUAAAGCUCUUUUGUCCGGAAAGAAAAGCAUUCGGUUAAUACCCGGGUGUUCUGACGGUACCGGAAGAAUAAGCACCGGCUAACUUCGUG